AGCCCUACCCACCAAUGGAUGAUGAUGAGGGCGUUGACGAUGAGGCAACAUUAAGCGACGACGACGAUGCAAACAUGAUGCAGGGGAAUGGACAUGGAAAAGGAUAUGGACAUGGAAAGGGUUCCAAAAAGCAACUGUGCAUAUUCUCACCCGAGACUAGAGAGUACUGUGUUAGUCAGGCAAAGGAGCUGUGAGAAUUGAAUCCUGAUGACAUCAUCCACAUUUAUUCAAGUGUUAAAUUUUUAAGCGAAUUAAAUUUUAUGAGUUU
This is a long non-coding RNA of Cydia pomonella (codling moth), 268 nucleotides long. RefSeq lists it as uncharacterized. The transcript is spliced from 4 exons. NCBI's taxonomy places the organism in Eukaryota, Metazoa, Arthropoda, Insecta, Lepidoptera, Tortricidae. The record is from RefSeq and is a predicted model, not a curated record.